UAGUUUGUCCUYUCCGCCCCAUGCCCUCGCGGGUUGUGGGGUGGACAUCAGGCACGCCCCGUGUUCCCGGCAAGCCAUGCCCAGCUGCUUGGCUGCCUUGGCCCAUUGGGUGCUCUGCCCGUGCUCUCGGAUGCAGAAUGUUGUGCGCGGGUGUGGGGUCUGUUGGCUCCGUUUGCCCAAGCAAUGCAUCUGUCCAUCGACACGAACGACUGUCGUGCCCGUCUUGAGCCCGCAGC
This 236-nucleotide unclassified non-coding RNA is filed under the name Commiphora lasiodisca. RNAcentral describes it as "partial external transcribed spacer". The record is from RNAcentral. Lineage: Eukaryota; Viridiplantae; Streptophyta; Magnoliopsida; Sapindales; Burseraceae.